Molecule: ribosomal RNA, 253 nt
Filed under: uncultured bacterium
Lineage: Bacteria
Description: partial 16S ribosomal RNA
Rfam family: Bacterial small subunit ribosomal RNA
Source: RNAcentral
UACAGGGGGUGCAACCGUUGCUCGGAAUUACUGGGCGUAAAGGGCUCGUAGGCGGCCAACUAAGUCGGAUGUGAAAUCCCCAGGCUCAACUUGGGAACUGCAUCCGAUACUGGAUGGCUUGAAUUCGGGAGAGGGAUGCAGAAUUCCAGGUGUAGCGGUGAAAUGCGUAGAUAUCUGGAGGAAUACCGGUGGCGAAGGCGGCAUCCUGGACCGACACUGACGCUCAUGCACGAAAGCGUGGGGAGCAAACAGG